This 391-nucleotide long non-coding RNA is filed under the name Setaria viridis. RNAcentral's name for it is "long non-coding RNA (SVIR_LNC003629)". The record is from RNAcentral. Lineage: Eukaryota; Viridiplantae; Streptophyta; Magnoliopsida; Poales; Poaceae.
GGUAAGGUACAUGAAAGGCCUUAUGAUUGUCGGUGAAUGGACGCGGCCUUAUGAUCGUGGGUGAACGGAGGGGAGAACGAAGCGUGUGUAUAGUAGUGAGAUGGAAAAAAGAAAGGUCAAAACAGAGAAAUAAAGCCAAAAAAAAAAUCGAUGACGAGAGAUGACUGGUAAUAGAGAGAGGUCGUCAUAAAAUUAGCAAAUCGGUUUUUAUAUGGCUAUAGAAUAAAAAUAAAAAAACACGAUCCUAUGACAAGUUAAUAUAUAUAAAUAAACAUUUCGGUUUCUAUUAAACAAAUCAGGGAAAAAAACCUAAACAAAGAACACAUAUAAAAUUGCAAUUCAUGAUAACUAAAUUUUAGAUCAAAACUAGAAGAGAAAAUAUAGGAAUAAG